This 253-nucleotide ribosomal RNA is filed under the name uncultured bacterium. RNAcentral's name for it is "partial 16S ribosomal RNA". It matches the Rfam family "Bacterial small subunit ribosomal RNA", at positions 524 to 776 of the family's 1533-position model. The record is from RNAcentral.
UACAGAGGUCUCAAGCGUUGUUCGGAUUCAUUGGGCGUAAAGGGUGCGUAGGCGGCGCGGUAAGUCGGGUGUGAAAUCUCGGAGCUUAACUCCGAAACUGCAUUCGAUACUGCCGUGCUUGAGGACUGGAGAGGAGACUGGAAUUCUCGGUGUAGCAGUGAAAUGCGUAGAUAUCGAGAGGAACACCAGUGGCGAAGGCGAGUCUCUGGACGACACCUGACACUGAGGCACGAAAGCUAGGGGAGCAAACAGG